This 442-nucleotide ribosomal RNA is filed under the name Streptococcus parasanguinis. RNAcentral describes it as "bacterial SSU rRNA". It matches the Rfam family "Bacterial small subunit ribosomal RNA", at positions 28 to 460 of the family's 1533-position model. The record is from RNAcentral. Lineage: Bacteria; Bacillati; Bacillota; Bacilli; Lactobacillales; Streptococcaceae.
GAUGAACGCUGGCGGCGUGCCUAAUACAUGCAAGUAGAACGCUGAAGCUUGGUGCUUGCACCGAGCGGAUGAGUUGCGAACGGGUGAGUAACGCGUAGGUAACCUGCCUCUUAGCGGGGGAUAACUAUUGGAAACGAUAGCUAAUACCGCAUAAAAGUCGAUAUCGCAUGAUAUUGAUUUGAAAGGUGCAAUUGCAUCACUAAGAGAUGGACCUGCGUUGUAUUAGCUAGUUGGUGAGGUAACGGCUCACCAAGGCGACGAUACAUAGCCGACCUGAGAGGGUGAUCGGCCACACUGGGACUGAGACACGGCCCAGACUCCUACGGGAGGCAGCAGUAGGGAAUCUUCGGCAAUGGGGGCAACCCUGACCGAGCAACGCCGCGUGAGUGAAGAAGGUUUUCGGAUCGUAAAGCUCUGUUGUAAGAGAAGAACGAGUGUGAGA